AAACCAGGGCUGCGUCGCGGAUUGUCCAACCAUAGUUGCAGACAGUCCCCCAUUUAUCACCAACUUUUACCUUGAAAAUAAGUCACGCGGUUGGAGUAAAUUACAAAAGAACUUAAUAAGAACUUGGUAAUAUUUUCUUCUUCAAAGAAAUAACUAAAUCUAAACGAAAUAUUAGAAAAAUGAAACUGAAACGAGUCAUUGAACUCGUAAAUAUAAUGUAGCUUACAAUUUCUAAUAACAAUAUCCAUAGCAUUAACCCUUUGGUGAGAUGAAAUGUUCAGAUUUGGAAGACUAAGUCGUGGAAGAAUGAUUUAAUCAGUCGAACAGUAAGAAAUCAGCACGUUUUCUUUCUUUCUAAUUAAGCAAUUGAUGUAUAAUUUAGCUUCAUAUGUCGAAGGUUUUUAUGUUUCGAAGAAUCUUCGUCAAAGGGUUAAUUUCAUUUUCAUUAUGUAAAAUAUAAGAUUACAGCCGUCACAAACGAUUAAAGGAUGUUUCUCAGCUUGUUGUAAGUCGAUCCUUCCUACCUGCAGUCUUCCUUCCAGAUUAGUCUUGCCGCCAAGAAGUCGCACAGACAGCUCCAUCUCUUUCAUCUGAUUGAAUCCCUCGUUCAUCAGUGUACCGUUAUCCGAGUCCAUGACAACCUCCUCUUUCAAAGUGAACAAGAUAUCACUGGGUCGUUUGCCACGAGCAUCGAGCCUGCCAGCAACCAUCAUCCCCACAGCUGGGGGGAAGCGUAAGGUGACGCCAGGAUGCAGUAUCAACUUGCCAUCCGGUCGUACGUUAAUAUCGCGCUCGACGAUGUACUCUCCAGAGCUCAGGAACUCCUGGCCGUCCACUUCACCGCCAACCAAGUUCGUUUCAGGUGUGACGAAGCGAGGCACGAACGUCGGAUUGGAAAUGAUGGUGUUUGCUCCUGGAUUGCUGCUGUGUAAUUACAUGAGAAAAAUUGUCGACGAAACGUUCAAAUCAAAGACGAACCUGUGGAACAGCCUGUCGAAUAUCCUCUUCUCCUCCGCAUACCCGAGCCAGUUGAAGGUGCAAUUAAUGACUUUGGACUGAUCCUCCAGGUUCAACGCGGGGCUCAGUUUGAUGCCGAACUUCGCGUUCUGCACGAAUGAAUUAUGGCCAAUUUGGAGCUUCAACGUCCCCCCGUCCUGCCUCCAGCUGGACUCCACUUGGAGGGCCGUCUCGGCGCUGCUGUUGAACCAAUUGCCCGUCACGUUCACGUAGGAGUUGCCGGUCACGUUGCCGACCUGCAGAGCGAAUAAUAAGGGUACAGUGUACCGUGGAAAGUAGGCACCAUCAUUUGAAAGUCACACUCCGCUUCACUUCGGUUUUAUG
This is a non-coding RNA of Nomia melanderi (Alkali bee), 1341 nucleotides long. Lineage: Eukaryota; Metazoa; Arthropoda; Insecta; Hymenoptera; Halictidae. The record is from RefSeq and is a predicted model, not a curated record.